CGCAUCUGUGCAUGCAGCAUAUCAAUAAGCGGAGGAAAAGAAACUAACAAGGAUUCCCCUAGUAACGGCGAGUGAAGCGGGAAGAGCUCAAAUUUGAAAUCUUAAAGGGUUUCCCUUUACGAAUUGUAGUUUAAAGAAGUGUUUUCUGUUGAGGUUUUGGUAAAAGUUCUUUGGAAUAGGACAUCAUAGAGGGUGAGAAUCCCGUAUUUGACCUUUACUUUCAACUUUGUGAUACACUUUCAAAGAGUCGGAUUGUUUGGGAAUGCAGUCCAAAAUGGGUGGUAAAUUUCAUCUAAAGCUAAAUAUUGGCGAGAGACCGAUAGCGAACAAGUACCGUGAGGGAAAGGAUGAAAAGAACUUUGAAAAGAGAGUUAAACAGUACGUGAAAUUGUCAAAAGGGAAGCGUUUGACACCAGUGUUGUUUUUCUGAAAAUCAAUUAAAGAACUGUUUAUGCUAAGUUGUUUAGACUUUAUCAGCUAUCUGUUUAGUUUUAGGCUUUUCUUUAAUGCACUUUUCAGUUAACAAGUCAACAUCAGUUUCUUUUGCUGUAAAAAAGCUUGAGGAAGGUGGCUUGAGAUUCGUCUUAAGUGUUUAUAGCCUCUUGCCUAUGCAGUCGGAGAGAUUGAGGUCUGCAGCGUAGAUCCUUCGGGGCUAAAUGCAUUUGUGCUAAGUUAUAGCAUUUUAUAGACAACUUGUUGACUAUGAUUUGUCUUGUAGCUUACUCGCUUAUGUUAUUUUACCUACGCUUAGGAUGUUGACAGCAGUAUAGACUGUACACGCUGUGACUAGCAUAUCAAUAAGCGGAGGAAAAGAGGGCUAUUACCUACGCUUAGGAUGUUGACGAGACUGUCGAUCUCAUCUAUACAUGACUCUGUGCAUAUCAAUAAGCGGAGGAAAAGGCUGUGGAACUGAGCGACCGCUACCUACGCUUAGGAUGUUGACAGCAGUAUAGACUGU
This 958-nucleotide ribosomal RNA is filed under the name uncultured Neocallimastigales. RNAcentral's name for it is "partial large subunit ribosomal RNA". It matches the Rfam family "Eukaryotic large subunit ribosomal RNA", at positions 26 to 637 of the family's 3401-position model. Lineage: Eukaryota; Fungi; Neocallimastigomycota; Neocallimastigomycetes; Neocallimastigales. The record is from RNAcentral.